Non-coding RNA from Caenorhabditis elegans, 21 nucleotides. NCBI's taxonomy places the organism in Eukaryota, Metazoa, Nematoda, Chromadorea, Rhabditida, Rhabditidae. The record is from Ensembl.
UACUGAAUGGAAGAACUGGAA